GAUUUUGAAAUGGAUGAAUAUUGAGUGAGUUAUGCUGAGUUGAAGUUUUGAUAUGCAUUAUGUUUCUCUUCGAUUUACUCUGGUUAGGAAGAAUUAGUGUAAAUUGAACCUGGAUUUGGAAUGUACAUUAGAUAAGCUUUCGAUUGAUGUAUAGUAUGCGUGAUUCUGGAAUUUUUUUUUGUGAACAUCACUGUAGCGCCACCGUCUCAUUGAAGAAGACGGUGGAAACCAC
RNAcentral lists this long non-coding RNA (232 nucleotides) under Lathyrus oleraceus (garden pea). RNAcentral's name for it is "Pisum sativum (pea) long non-coding RNA (PSAT_LNC030653)". The record is from RNAcentral. Lineage: Eukaryota; Viridiplantae; Streptophyta; Magnoliopsida; Fabales; Fabaceae.